GUGUCAGCAGCCGCGGUAAGACAGAGGUGCCGAGCGUUAGGCGGAAUCACUGGGCUUAAAGCGUGUGUAGGCGGAAGCGUAAGUGCCUUGUGAAAUCCCACGGCUCAACCGUGGAACUGCUGGGCAUACUGCGUUUCUUGAGCCAAUCAGGGGUCGUCGGAACAAACGGUGGAGCGGUGAAAUGCGUAGAUAUCGUUUGGAACGCCAAAGGCGAAAGCAGACGACUGGGAUUGCGCUGACGCUGAGACACGAAAGCCAGGGGAGCAAACGGGAUUAGAUACCCCUGUAGUCC
This 292-nucleotide ribosomal RNA is filed under the name uncultured bacterium. RNAcentral describes it as "partial 16S ribosomal RNA". It matches the Rfam family "Bacterial small subunit ribosomal RNA", at positions 505 to 796 of the family's 1533-position model. The record is from RNAcentral.